Long non-coding RNA from Mus musculus (house mouse), 1523 nucleotides. RefSeq annotates it as predicted gene 5095. The transcript is spliced from 6 exons. NCBI's taxonomy places the organism in Eukaryota, Metazoa, Chordata, Mammalia, Rodentia, Muridae. The record is from RefSeq and is marked validated.
GUACUCAGAGCUAAUGGCCCAGGAGGCAGCCUUCUCCCGAUUUCCUUUACCUGGAGCAACAUGGAAGCUUGCUGUGUGCAGUCGCCCAGAUGUCCUGAUGGGACUGGGUCCCAGCGGCUCACACUGAAAACCUGCCUAUUAACACACCACGUUCUGGCUUCCUUCUCUUCUCACUCUCCUCUGACUCUCCUACUGCUGUUUCCUGGGAUCGCUUUCCAACUCAACACUGCAGCUCAAAAGCCUUACUUAUCUGCCAGAAUCAGACAAGCACAGAGAUGUUGAAAUUGCCAGGCAGAGUGCACCACCUGGGAAAUCAGGACCAAAAGUUUAUGUCCUGCUUUCUCCCGCUAUGCAAAGUAAAAACAAACAACAGAAGCAAACCAAGCAAAUACCAACAACAAUAAAAUCUAGCAACAUCUGUUAUGCUGUCUACAGAGGACAGGUCCUAAUUGUCUGAACUGGUCUGUGCAAAUGGAUUAGUUUUUACAUGGCUGGCUUUAGAAGUGUUUCCAGGGAAGGAUUCCAGCCAUCCAUCUUUCCUACUGAUUCUUCACUUGAAGUUUGUAUAAGCUUUCUGAUUUUUUGACAUCAUACCUAACACAUUGCCUGGGAAUUGUGGGAAGGAGAUCUUUGACUCCCAGCUAGCUACCCAGAGGCUGGCUCAGACGAAGCACAUCUAAGUUUGGUUGUGUAAUUAUUUUUUUCCAUGCUUGUACCAAUACUCCGAGAUGAUACAGAUUAAAGGGGGGAAAACAGAGCUUGAGAGUUUUACAACUCCUGCAGGAGUUGGGAUGCGGUUUUCUAUCUGUCGCUUUGAUUGGGAAUUUAAAUCAUCUCGCAUUGCAGGCAAUUGGUUGCCUCCUAGGGUACAGAAUCUGACAGUUUAUAGCUCAAUCUGUGACUUGUUGACUUUAAAGGAAAAGUAGUAAAAAUUAAAAUGGAGAGAAACAGAUAAAUGUCCCAGGCCUGGGCUCUGAGAUGGAACAUUGUAUAAUGAUCACAUCUGCUGUGAACCAGCACUGGAAGGAAGGAUGCUGGUGCCGCAGGACUGCUUACCCUGCAGGGGAGCUAGACAAGAUUGGGUCAAGUUUAACACACAAAACCAGCCAGCAUGUCACAAGUGAAGCUGUUUGGACAAACAUACUACUGGACGCAUCUUGGGCUCAGCAACUUCAAAGGAUGAUCUGCAGCUCUGGUAUUUGGCAAAGCAGAACAGAGAAGCCUUUCUGCCUUCUGUUCUCAGACAGUCUGAUCCAGCAAAGUGUACAAAAACUCACAAUCUCAGAAGACGGUGACCUCAAGGCUUCAGGUGGGGGAUUUGGCUUGUGAACUUCUUGAAGGGGGAUAAUCAGUUGUCAGCAAUGAGGCAAAAUUCAAAGAGAUUUCUGUAGAGGUUUUUCAUCACAGAAACUGGGGCUGCCUAUGAACCUGCUGCUACAAAGGCAGAAACCAGGCCGGCGUGUCAGACCAAGAUGGAUAAGACAGUCAGAUUCUGUAUCUCUGAACCCUUGGACUGACAGAGC